This 474-nucleotide ribosomal RNA is filed under the name uncultured organism. RNAcentral's name for it is "partial 16S ribosomal RNA". It matches the Rfam family "Bacterial small subunit ribosomal RNA", at positions 335 to 800 of the family's 1533-position model. The record is from RNAcentral.
ACUCCUACGGGAGGCAGCAGUGGGGAAUUUUGGACAAUGGGGGCAACCCUGAUCCAGCAAUGCCGCGUGAGUGAAGAAGGCCUUCGGGUUGUAAAGCUCUUUUGUCAGGGAAGAAACGGUGGUGGCGAAUAACUACUACUAAUGACGGUACCUGAAGAAUAAGCACCGGCUAACUACGUGCCAGCAGCCGCGGUAAUACGUAGGGUGCAAGCGUUAAUCGGAAUUACUGGGCGUAAAGCGUGCGCAGGCGGUUGUGUAAGUCAGAUGUGAAAUCCCCGGGCUCAACCUGGAAAUUGCAUUUGAGACUGCACGGCUAGAGUGUGUCAGAGGGGGGUAGAAUUCCACGUGUAGCAGUGAAAUGCGUAGAUAUGUGGAGGAAUACCGAUGGCGAAGGCAGCCCCCUGGGAUAACACUGACGCUCAGGCACGAAAGCGUGGGGAGCAAACAGGAUUAGAAACCCUAGUAGUCCCAUGA